This is a long non-coding RNA of Choloepus didactylus (southern two-toed sloth), 1401 nucleotides long. RefSeq lists it as uncharacterized. Lineage: Eukaryota; Metazoa; Chordata; Mammalia; Pilosa; Megalonychidae. The record is from RefSeq and is a predicted model, not a curated record. The transcript is spliced from 3 exons.
UGUAAGUACAGGGCAAGAGAAGUUAGUCUAAGCUCUUCACAAAAAUGAAAUAACUUGGCAGUACUAGUUAGUGCAUUAGUGUUUUCAGGGUUUUACAAUUUUGUAUAUGUCUGUACUUUUUAUUACAAAUGUUAAAAAUUUUAAAAAUUUAGCAAGUAAAAUUUGGGUCAGAAUUUUGUGGGAUUCAUUAAGCACCUUUGCAAAAUCUGUAGGACAUUUUUUAACCCCUCAACCUGGUGGAAAAACCUUUGUAUCAGUCAGAUCUGGGUGUAAUUCCAGCUUCACUACUUUAUAGUUUUGUGGGAUUGGUCAAAUUAACCAGCCUCAGGUUCUUCAGGUAAAUGACACAUGUAUAAAGUGCCUUGAAUACUUCUUGGGGCUUAGUGGAUAGAUUCUCAAUAAAUGUAAUUAUUUUAUUGUUAUUUUGAAGAAAUUGACUACAUUAAUAAUUACUACUUUUAAAAAGGUUCCAGUUUACUUUGGAAUGUAACUUAUUUUUGCUAAUGAGAGAUCAUUUGAUAAAUGUCUAUAAUGGGUAUUUUCAGAGGACCAUGUUGUAUUAAAAAAUCUCCAUAAUAAUGUUUCUUUUUAGAAUAUAUUAAAGUAAAAUUAUUGUAUAAUUUACCCAGUUAACUACUCAGUUAACCAUAAACACCUAAUUUUUUUACUCUGGAAACAGUAAGGGAGAAAGGUAUAAGAGGUGAAUUUUGGAGGACUUCCUUCAACCAUGCCAUCACAUCUGUCUGAAGUAUUCCAGGAACAUUGACCUCCUAUUCAUCUUCUGCUUUCAGAUGUAGAAAUGUGGAAAAAAUCACCCCCACACUAACAAUAAGAAAAUAAUGUAUAAAGUCAUAACUUUUCUGGGAUCCAACAGAAAUCUGAGGUCACUGGGAAACAAACUGGCCUGAAAUUUAAGGAAAAAUAGACACUUCCAAGGAGAGAGAAGAUGAAAGCACUGACUUACCUAUGGCGGAAGACAGGACCACCCUUGAAGCAGAUGGCUCUUCACUGAGGAUUCUGCUUCUCCUGAAACCAUCUAAAGACAAAGGCACAUUUUGGAAGUUGGAGUUUAGAGUGUGUGACAGCAAGACUGAAGACCUGAAGAGACUAUGGUGUUGAUCCUGCAGUUCAUGGAAAAGGAUGAUGGAAGCAGAGAGUAUGAUACGUCAAGUGCAAUAGUGAGAGUGAGAUGGGAGAUGGAGGAGAAUUUUGAGAAGAAUGGAGAAUAUUUGAAAUAGCCUCACUUAGAAAUGGAAUAGAGAACUGACAAGAAAUAUAGACGUGUAGGGUAUUUCAUCACAAAUAUAAAAUAAUUACUGGUUGCACUUUUGCAAUAUUUGUAUUUCUUACCCGACUUAGGUUAGAAAUUUAGUUGGUAAGCCCAAUUAUACCUAGUUGUAA